Small nuclear RNA from Ailuropoda melanoleuca (giant panda), 106 nucleotides. The record is from Ensembl. Lineage: Eukaryota; Metazoa; Chordata; Mammalia; Carnivora; Ursidae.
GUGCUCGCUUCUGCAGGACAUACUCUAAAUCUGGAACGAUACAGAGAAGAUUAGUAGGGCUCUGCACAAGGAUGACACACAGAUUCAUGAAACAUUCCGUGUAUUU